RNAcentral lists this ribosomal RNA (2508 nucleotides) under Musa schizocarpa. RNAcentral describes it as "bacterial LSU rRNA". The stretch from base 365 to 2508 matches the Rfam family "Eukaryotic large subunit ribosomal RNA", at positions 1 to 2154 of the family's 3401-position model. Lineage: Eukaryota; Viridiplantae; Streptophyta; Magnoliopsida; Zingiberales; Musaceae. The record is from RNAcentral.
ACUCUCAGCAACGGAUAUCUCGGCUCUCGCAUCGAUGAAGAACGUAGCGAAAUGCGAUACCUGGUGUGAAUUGCAGAAUCCCAUGAACCAUCAAGUCUUUGAAUCCAAGUUCGCCCGAGGCCAUCCGCUAAGGGCACGCCGCCCUGGCGUCCACGCUUUCGACGCGCCGUCAGAAGCUCCCUGGGGGCGGGCGAACACGGAGGAUGGCCCCCAUGCCGGAAGGUGCGGUUGGCGAAGAGCGGGCCGUCAAUGGUUGUCGAACACGACACAUGGUGGAUGCCAUGUGCGAAGUCGUCGUCGUGCCGCCGGGACCUGGCGGCCUCGAGGACCCAAGUCGGUGGUGCGAGUCGAUGCCUGGACCGACCGACCCCGUGUCGGUGGGGCUACCCGCUGAGUUUAAGCAUAUAAAUAAGCGGAGGAGAAGAAACUUAAAAGGAUUCCCUUAGUAACGCGAAGCGAACCGGGAUCAGCCCAGCUUGAGAAUGGGCGGCGCCGCGUCGUCCCGGAAUUGUAGUCCGGAGAAGCGCCCUUAGCGACGGACCGGGCCAAAGUCCCCUGGAAAGGGGCCGGAGGGUGAGAGCCCCGUCCGGCUCAGAACUGUCGCGACCACGGCUAUUAUCGACGAAGUCGGGUUGUUUGGGGAAUGCAGCCCCAACCCGGGCGAUAAAUUCCGGCCCAAAGGCUAAAUAUGGGCGAGACCGAUAGCGAACAAGUACCGCGAGGGAAAGAUGAAAAGGACUUUGAAAAGAGAGUCAAAGAGUGCUUGAAAUUGCCGGGAGGGGAGCGGAUGGGGGCGGCGAUGCACCUCGGUCGGAUCUUGAACGGCGGUUAGCCGGUCCGCCCUUCGGCUUCGGCAGUGCGGAUCGACGCGGGCUGCAUCGACGGCCGGGCUUGACGGAUCGUUUGUUCGAGGGGAUACCGUCGAUGCGGUCGAGGAGAUGACGACGCCAUCGGCGUGCCCGCGGGUACACGCGGCGACCUAGGCAUCGGCCGAUGGGCUCCCAAUCCAACCCGUCUUGAAAACAUGGACCAAGGAGUCCGACAUGCGGCGAAGUCGAUGGGUGCGGAAACCCGGUAGGCACAAGGAAAUAACAGGUGGGAACCCUCUCGAGGGGUUGCACCACGGGCACCGACCCGAUCUUACGUGAAGGGUUCGAGUUGGAGCAUGCAUGUCGGGACCAAAGAUGGUGAACUAUGCCCGAAGCGAGGCGGGCCGGAGGAAACUCUGGUGGAGGCCGAAGCGAUACCGACGCGGCAAAUCGUUAAAUCUGACGUGGAAACUCUGGCGGCCGAGGAAACUAUGACUAAUCGAACUAUCUAGUAGCUGGUUCCUCCGAAGUUUCCCUCGGGAUAGUUGGAGCCCACGUGCGAGUUCUAUCGGGUAAAGCCAAUGAUUAGAGGCAUCGGGGGCGCAAUGCCCUCGACCUAUUCUCAAACUUUAAAUAGGUAGGACGGCGCGGCUGUUUCGUUGAGACGCGUCGCGGAAUCGAGAGCUCCAAGUGGGCCAUUUUUGGCAAGCAGAACUGGCUAUGCGGGAUGAACCGGAAGCCGGGUUACGGUGCCCAAUUGCGCGCUAACCCAGACACCACAAAGGGUGUUGGUCGAUUAAGACAGCUGGACGGUGGUCAUGGAAGUCGAAAUCCGCUAAGGAGUGUGUAACAACUCACCUGCCGAAUCAACUAGCCCCGAAAAUGGAUGGCGCUGAAGCGCGACCCACCACCAUCGGGCGGCGCCAAGCCCCGAUGAGUAGAGGGGGGCGCGGCGGUCGCGAAAAACCAGGGCGCGAGCCCGGGCGGAGCGGCCGUCGGUGCAGAUCUUGGUGGUAGUAACAAAUAUUCAAAUGAGAACUUUGAAGGGCGAAGAGGGGAAACGUUCCAUGUGAACGUCACUUGCACAUGGGUUAGCCGAUCCUAAAGGGACGGGGAAGCCCGUCCGAGAGCGUGUCUCCCGUAGCGAGCUCAAAGGGAAUCGGGUUAAAAUUCCCGAGCCGGACGGGGCGCGGACGGCAACGUUAGGAAGUCCGGAGACGCCCGGCGGGGCUCCGGGAAGAGUUAUCUUUUCUGCUUAACGGCCCGCCCACCCUGGAAAUGGCUUAGCCGGAGGUAGGGUCCAGCGGUCGGAAGAGCGCCCGACGUCGCUACGGCGUCCGGUCGCGCCCCGGCGCCCUUCAAAAUCCGUAGGACCGAGUGCCGCCAGCUUCGGUCGUACUCAUAACCCAUCAGGUCUCCAAGGUGAACAGCCUCUAGCCCAUGGAACAAUGUAGGCAAGGGAAGUCGGCAAAACGGAUCCAGAAACCGGAAAAGGAUUGGCUCGAGGGCUGGGCACGGGGUCCCGCCCCAACCCGUCGGCUGUCGGCGGACUGCUCGAGCUGCUCUCGCGGCGAGAGUGGGUCGCCGAUGCGUCGGCCGGGGACGGACGAAUUGCCCCCUCGAGAGCCUUCCCGGCGUCGAACAGCCGACUCAGAACUGGUAAUGCGGACAAGGGAAUCCGACCGUUUAAUUAAAACAA